CCCAAGGGUAUGGCUGUUCGCCAUUUAAAGUGGUACGCGAGCUGGGUUUAGAACGUCGUGAGACAGUUCGGUCCCUAUCUGCCGUGGGCGCUGGAGAAUUGAGGGGGGCUGCUCCUAGUACGAGAGGACCGGAGUGGACGCAUCACUGGUGUUCGGGUUGUCAUGCCAAUGGCACUGCCCGGUAGCUAAAUGCGGAAGAGAUAAGUGCUGAAAGCAUCUAAGCACGAAACUUGCCCCGAGAUGAGUUCUCCCUGACUCCUUGAGAGUCCUGAAGGAACGUUGAAGACGACGACGUUGAUAGGCCGGGUGUGUAAGCGCAGCGAUGCGUUGAGCUAACCGGUACUAAUGAACCGUGAGGCUUAACCUUACAACGCCGAAG
Molecule: ribosomal RNA, 379 nt
Filed under: Escherichia coli
Lineage: Bacteria; Pseudomonadati; Pseudomonadota; Gammaproteobacteria; Enterobacterales; Enterobacteriaceae
Description: partial 23S ribosomal RNA
Rfam family: Bacterial large subunit ribosomal RNA
Source: RNAcentral